GACGAACGCUGGCGGCGUGCUUAACACAUGCAAGUCGAGCGGUAAGGCCCUUUCGGGGGUACACGAGCGGCGAACGGGUGAGUAACACGUGGGUGACCUGCCCUCAGCUCUGGGAUAAGCCUGGGAAACCGGGUCUAAUACCGGAUAUGACUCCACGGCGCAUGUUGGUGGGGUGGAAAGCCUUGUGUGGCUAGAGAUGGGCCCGCGGCCUAUCAGCUUGUUGGU
Molecule: ribosomal RNA, 225 nt
Filed under: uncultured bacterium
Lineage: Bacteria
Description: partial 16S ribosomal RNA
Rfam family: Bacterial small subunit ribosomal RNA
Source: RNAcentral